RNAcentral lists this long non-coding RNA (766 nucleotides) under Monodelphis domestica (gray short-tailed opossum). RNAcentral describes it as "lncRNA (ENSMODG00000046307.1)". The record is from RNAcentral. Lineage: Eukaryota; Metazoa; Chordata; Mammalia; Didelphimorphia; Didelphidae.
GCAAAUCUACAUAUAAGUGUACACACACACACACACACACACACACACACACACACACGUAUUUUCAAGGCAAUGUGGCAGAGCAGAAGCUACAUUCCUUCCAAUAGACCUUGGAGAACGUUGUCAUCUAAAAAAAUCUGGGAAGGAAAGACUAUCAUUAUGAAGUGACCUGUUCACCAAAAAGAACGACACAAAACCAUCACAGAAGACACUGAAACUAGGAGGUGGGCGAAGAGGUGCUUAGAUGACCCUACAAAUAGCGAGGAACACGCCCUCCUCUUCAGGCACCAUUUUUAGCUAACAGGCACCAUUUUGGUUCAGGUAGGUCUGAGGUGAUUUGAGAAUAUGAGCCAAAGGGAGAUGGUAAAGAGGUAGGAGGGACAGUGCCAGGAGCCCGAGCCCUCUGAAGAGAUGCCCAGAAAACAGAGCUCCAUUGGGUUAGUCUCCACCAUUCCUUUCCCCUCCCCCACCUUAAACUAUUCUAACUCCCAACUGCUGAAGGAUGCAAUGGGCCAUUUCCAAGAUCCCAACACAAAAGGAGUUUAUCAGAUGGAACUGGACAAUUUGUUAGAUAUAAGGCAAUCUAAGAAUCUGACUACUGAUAAUCAAAUGGAGGAACUCCACCUGAAAAAAAACAACACAACAAAAAACAACCUCUCCUGACAAGAGUGGAAACAAAACUUUUGAAAAAAAGCUAAGGAAAAAGGGUUAGAAAAGGAAUGGGGCAUCAAAUAAAAAUUCUUGUUUUAUUCCUAGUCGAAAAGUG